RNAcentral lists this ribosomal RNA (45 nucleotides) under Phialocephala fortinii. RNAcentral's name for it is "partial 28S ribosomal RNA". RNAcentral also lists the same sequence under 1 other name. Lineage: Eukaryota; Fungi; Ascomycota; Leotiomycetes; Helotiales; Mollisiaceae. The record is from RNAcentral.
ACCUCGGAUCAGGUAGGGAUACCCGCUGAACUUAAGCAUAUCAAA